UUUGAAUUGAGGGUCCUCAACUGAUCUUUGCUUUUAAAUACUCUGGAUCUAUACCCUGGAUCUAUCGAUCCGCGACUCAAUGACUGAACACAGCAAACUGUAGUGCAGCAUAUACUUUGAUGUAAAUUUCCAUUGACUUGGAUCCGCCAAAGCGUGUCCACCAUCUACUUUCUUUUUUGCUAUUUCGGGCUGGUUUAUCGAAAAUGAAAGUUGGUUUUUAAUUUAUUUAUCAGUCCCAGUCAAUGACCAUGUGAGCCCAAGACAGAAACGCACGUAACAACAAACCUAGCCGUUAUCUUUUUCUAGUUCAAGGACAAAUCAUUCAUUCUUGUUCAUUCUAGACAGGCGUAUUUCGAGAACAAAAUGGAGCUGAGCAAUUGGUUUGCCACAUUGUUGCGAGGUCUGCUAUUACUGCCAUUCAUUGCAAUGUCCGUGGCUAGAGAUGUACUUGGGAUGUUUAUUCCGGGACUUAAACCAGGCCCAGAAUCUAAACAGAAGCGAUACACCUUCAGCAAAGACUAAUCCAAUUCUCAAUAGUCCACCUCAAUAAUCAUUAUUUUCUUGCAAUGAUAGACUGCCUAUGAACAAACUGUACAUCCAAAACUGAAUUAUUUGUGCUUCUAUAAAUGACUGUUAAAAUGUAGAAAUUAAGAGAGCAUUUAUAAUAUACACAAGUAAUCCAUUGUAUUUUGAUAACGAUAAACAAAUGUAAGCAUAUAAUUUUGUAUGCGGAAUUGGAAUCUGCCAUAUUAAAAACAAACUAAACACAAA
Molecule: long non-coding RNA, 771 nt
Organism: Magallana angulata
Lineage: Eukaryota; Metazoa; Mollusca; Bivalvia; Ostreida; Ostreidae
Exons: 4
Source: RefSeq, a predicted model, not a curated record